GCGAACGCUGGCGGCAGGCCUAACACAUGCAAGUCGAACGGAUCCUUCGGGAUUAGUGGCGGACGGGUGAGUAACACGUGGGAACGUGCCCUUUGGUUCGGAACAACCCAGGGAAACUUGAGCUAAUACCGGAUGUGCCCUUCGGGGGAAAGAUUUAUCGCCAUUGGAGCGGCCCGCGUCUGAUUAGCUAGUUGGUGAGGUAACGGCCCACCAAGGCGACGAUCAGUAGCUGGUCUGAGAGGAUGAUCAGCCACACUGGGACUGAGACACGGCCCAGACUCCUACGGGAGGCAGCAGUGGGGAAUCUUGCGCAAUGGGCGAAAGCCUGACGCAGCCAUGCCGCGUGAAUGAUGAAGGUCUUAGGAUUGUAAAAUUCUUUCAGCGGGGACGAUAAUGACGGUACCCGCAGAAGAAGCUCCGGCUAACUUCGUG
RNAcentral lists this ribosomal RNA (432 nucleotides) under uncultured bacterium. Its description in RNAcentral is "partial 16S ribosomal RNA". It matches the Rfam family "Bacterial small subunit ribosomal RNA", at positions 29 to 507 of the family's 1533-position model. The record is from RNAcentral.